Molecule: ribosomal RNA, 395 nt
Filed under: uncultured bacterium
Lineage: Bacteria
Description: bacterial SSU rRNA
Rfam family: Bacterial small subunit ribosomal RNA
Source: RNAcentral
GUGUCAGCAGCCGCGGUAAGACAGAGGGUGCAAACGUUGUUCGGAAUUACUGGGCGUAAAGCGUGUGUAGGCUGCUCUGCAAGUCGGAUGUGAAAGCCCUGGGCUCAACCUAGGAAGUGCAUUCGAAACUGCAGAGCUCGAGUCCUGGAGAGGAAGGCGGAAUUCUCGGUGUAGAGGUGAAAUUCGUAGAUAUCGAGAGGAACACCGGUGGCGAAGGCGGCCUUCUGGACAGUGACUGACGCUGAGACACGAAAGCGUGGGGAGCAAACAGGAUUAGAUACCCUGGUAGUCCACGCCGUAAACGAUGGGUGCUAGGUGUCAGGGGCUUUGACCCCUCUGGUGCCGUAGCUAACGCAUUAAGCACCCCGCCUGGGGAGUACGGCCGCAAGGCUAAA